RNAcentral lists this ribosomal RNA (691 nucleotides) under uncultured bacterium. Its description in RNAcentral is "bacterial SSU rRNA". It matches the Rfam family "Bacterial small subunit ribosomal RNA", at positions 776 to 1477 of the family's 1533-position model. The record is from RNAcentral.
GAUUAGAUACCCUGGUAGUCCACGCCGUAAACGAUGGAUACUCGCUGCGGGCUAAAGAUUGUCCGUGGCUUAGGGAAACCGAUAAGUAUCCCACCUGGGGAGUACGCCGGCAACGGUGAAACUCAAAGGAAUUGACGGGGGCCCGCACAAGUGGUGGAGCAUGUGGUUUAAUUCGAUGAUACGCGAGGAACCUUACCUAGGCUAGAAUGCGCGUGACCGGCUCAGAGAUGAGCCUUUCCUUCGGGACACAAAGCAAGGUGCUGCAUGGCCGUCGUCAGCUCGUGCCGUGAGGUGUUGGGUUAAGUCCCGCAACGAGCGCAACCCCUAUGGUUAGUUGCCAGCACGUAAUGGUGGGGACUCUAGCCAGACUGCCUGCGCAAGCAGUGAGGAAGGCGGGGACGACGUCAGGUCAUCAUGGCCCUUACGCCUAGGGCGACACACGUGCUACAAUGGACGGUACAGCGGGUAGCUACCAGGCGACUGGAUGCCAAUCUCGAAAAGCCGUUCUCAGUUCGGAUUGGAGUCUGCAACUCGACUCCAUGAAGCUGGAAUCACUAGUAAUCGCGCAUCAGCCAUGGCGCGGUGAAUACGUUCCCGGGCCUUGUACACACCGCCCGUCAAGCCAUGAAAGUCUGGUAGACCUGAAGCUGGUGCUCGUCACAGAAGCCAGUUAGGGUAGAACAGGUAAUUA